Molecule: ribosomal RNA, 253 nt
Filed under: uncultured bacterium
Lineage: Bacteria
Description: partial 16S ribosomal RNA
Rfam family: Bacterial small subunit ribosomal RNA
Source: RNAcentral
UACGUAGGGUGCAAGCGUUAAUCGGAAUUACUGGGCGUAAAGCGUGCGCAGGCGGCUUUGCAAGACAGAUGUGAAAUCCCCGGGCUUAACCUGGGAACUGCAUUUGUGACUGCAAGGCUAGAGUACGGUAGAGGGGGAUGGAAUUCCGCGUGUAGCAGUGAAAUGCGUAGAUAUGCGGAGGAACACCGAUGGCGAAGGCGGCUUUCUGGGACGGUACUGACGCUGAGACGCGAAAGCGUGGGGAGCGAACAGG